RNAcentral lists this small nucleolar RNA (107 nucleotides) under Drosophila ananassae. RNAcentral's name for it is "snoRNA:GF26040". The record is from RNAcentral. Lineage: Eukaryota; Metazoa; Arthropoda; Insecta; Diptera; Drosophilidae.
GAUGACGAUGACGUUGUGGAAACAGUUAAGCAUUUUAACUGAGUUUUCUUCAAACUUGCAACGCGGCUUCUGCCUCAGCUUCAGCUGUUCCAUAUCCUGCUCCUGUU